Molecule: ribosomal RNA, 673 nt
Filed under: uncultured bacterium
Lineage: Bacteria
Description: bacterial SSU rRNA
Rfam family: Bacterial small subunit ribosomal RNA
Source: RNAcentral
CUGCAAGUCGACGAGAAGCCCUUCGGGGUGAGUACAGCGGCGAACGGGUGAGUAACACGUGAGGAACCUGCCCCGAAGACCGGGAUAACACCGGGAAACCGGUGCUAAUACCGGAUGCCCUCAGAGAGUCGCAUGGCUCAUUGAGGAAAUGGAUUCCGCUUCGGGAGGGUCUCGCGGCCUAUCAGCUUGUUGGUGGGGUAACGGCCUACCAAGGCUCCGACGGGUAGCUGGUCUGAGAGGACGACCAGCCACACUGGGACUGAGACACGGCCCAGACUCCUACGGGAGGCAGCAGUGGGGAAUCUUGCGCAAUGGGCGAAAGCCUGACGCAGCAACGCCGCGUGGGGGACGAAGGCCUUCGGGUUGUAAACCCCUUUCAGCAGGGACGAAAAUGACGGUACCUGCAGAAGAAGCCCCGGCCAACUACGUGCCAGCAGCCGCGGUAAUACGUAGGGGGCGAGCGUUGUCCGGAUUUAUUGGGCGUAAAGAGCUCGUAGGCGGUUUGGCAAGUCGGGUGUGAAAACUCCGGGCUCAACUCGGAGACGCCACUCGAUACUGCCAUGACUCGAGUCCGGUAGGGGAGUGCGGAAUUCCUGGUGUAGCGUUGAAAUGCGCAGAUAUCAGGAGGAACACCGGUGGCGAAGGCGGCACUCUGGGCCGGUACUGACGCUGA